AAAUGGGCUUCGUCGAAGACCGAUUUGCAACUUUCGCAAUGUGUUAAUUGGUUCAAAUCGAAGCCCAAAGCAAUUUUUGAUACGACGGUCUCUGAUUUGACAGCUCACAGUCAUUUUAGUAACUUUUACGUGCAAUAACAAAA
Non-coding RNA from Drosophila ficusphila, 143 nucleotides. The record is from Rfam. NCBI's taxonomy places the organism in Eukaryota, Metazoa, Arthropoda, Insecta, Diptera, Drosophilidae.